ACGAUCUUCAUCAAGGACACGAUCUCAUCUCAAUUCUUUAUAUCAUCGUAGAAAUUUUAUAGAUUCCCUGUGAGAUUCCAUCGGCUUUUGACAUCACUGCUUAAUAGUUAAUUCCCUUCUUUAUCUCCCACAAACACAAUAUAGAGUUUGCGGUGGUAAUGAUGCUCCAUUCUCAAUAUUCUUGCUUAUCAAUAGGUUCAAACACUUCUAUUUCCUUGCAAAUCAUUUAUUGUCGUAUCUGAUUUAGAUUUAUGUAUUCUUUUCCCUUGCUCUGUUAUUUUUUUAUUUUUGUUUUUUAGAUACAUAUUUUGUUUAAGCUUGCUUAGAACAUAUGGUUUGUGUUUUCUUAAUUUUGUUUCUUUCCACUGCAGGUUAAUUUUUUCUUUCCCCUUUCAUCGACAAUUAACAACCGACGUAGAAGGUAUAUCUUCUUUGCUUACAAUCUCCCAUAGUAGCCAUUUUCUUAACAUAUUCAAAUUUUAUGUUGUUUAUAGUGGUUUAAAGUUUGUGGAAUGUAUUUUGCUUUCUUGCAGGUUUGUUAAAACACAUAAUUUUUCCACUGUAUGUUCCUU
RNAcentral lists this long non-coding RNA (572 nucleotides) under Erythranthe guttata (spotted monkey flower). RNAcentral describes it as "long non-coding RNA (EGUT_LNC000492)". Lineage: Eukaryota; Viridiplantae; Streptophyta; Magnoliopsida; Lamiales; Phrymaceae. The record is from RNAcentral.